This 1067-nucleotide long non-coding RNA is filed under the name Homo sapiens (human). RNAcentral describes it as "HSALNT0388100". Lineage: Eukaryota; Metazoa; Chordata; Mammalia; Primates; Hominidae. The record is from RNAcentral.
UGGCCACCGCGCUGGGGGCGAGAGGAGGGCAGAGAUGUGGACCCACACAGAGGCCACGCCGGGGCUGAGCAAGGACGGCCCCGGAUAGGGCGGGCUUAGAGAGGGGCACGGAGGCUGGACCCUGGCCUUGAAGGAGCCCCUGCAAGGUGGGGGCUGCACUGGGGUUGUGGCAGGGGAACAUGUGGACCACAGAAAGCAUCACACCUGGGCUGGUGCUGGACAUCCCCAGCACCAACCACACCUUCUCAUCGCCAGGGCCUCCUGUUCAGGCUGCUUGGACUCUCAAGCUCUGUCUGCUUUGUUCCUACUUGGCAGAACUGGGCGCCUCUCAGCACUCACUUGGAGACGUGGGGUCGGAACUCUGGUGGCCUGGUGCCUCUCCCAGCCAGGACCUGGAUGAAUGAACACACACCCUUCCUUUCCCAGGCUCUGCCGUGUCUUCUGUCAAAGGUCCCUCCUGCUACCACCACGGAUGCCACCUAAUCCCUGCCCUCUUGAAGAGCUACUUCCCUCCUCCCUUCCUCCCCUGCCCAAGAUCUCCCUGCCCCUCAAGUCCUGGCUCCAGAGGGGAGUCAGGAGGCCCCCGGAAGAAAGCGUCUCCCUCCCGGCUCUCUGCUUGCCAUCACCCAGGAGGCCGACGUGGCCAGGGUGACUGCAGGACAGCUUGUGUCUUUGCAAGUCAAGGUGGGACAGCUUCGUCCCAAAGACCGAGACUACAGGACUUGACGCCGCAAUCCUCCAGGGUCGGAUGGACCCAGCGCAGAGGAGAUUCACGAUGGACUGCCCUCCCUCCCCCGCCCAUUCUCCACUAAACUAAGGAGCCCCUUUUCCCUGUUUUCCUGCUUUCCCAGGGAGGGGCUGAGCUGGGCAAGGGAUGAAACGCCCAGCACGGGAAUCCGACCCAGGCUCUCCGAGCCUUCGCACUGGGACAACUUUCUGGAAAGGGUAGGCAGACAGAAGGGUAGAGGGGACGUUGGAGGCUGCGCUAUCGGCAGCCUUGCUGGAACGCCCUGCUCCUAGGGGCCCCGAGAGAGCCUGCACAUACGGCCCAGGGGGUUACCUUUUCC